This 107-nucleotide small nuclear RNA is filed under the name Myotis davidii. The record is from RNAcentral. Lineage: Eukaryota; Metazoa; Chordata; Mammalia; Chiroptera; Vespertilionidae.
GUGCUCGCUUCAGUAGCACGUAUACUAAAAUUGGAAUGAUACAGGGAAGAUUAGCAUGGCCCCUACACAAAGAUGACAUGCAAAUUAGUGAACCAUUCCAUAUUUCU